GAUCCACCGUCCCAAGAUGGCUGCCAGGUGCGGUGGCUAAGCCUGGGCACAUCUGAAGCCGGUGCCGACCAUCAGGGCCGAGUUGCGACGAGAGAGUGUUAUUAAGCCGAGUUGACCAGGUCCCUAAGUCUUGGAUGGCGAGCUGUAGAUAGGCCUUGAGCCCGAGCCCAAGGAUCUCUACCUCUCAACCCCUGAGCUCCAACUGCUCUGGUCGGGCCGGUAGGCGGCUUAUAGCCGAACCCCUUGCCUCGCACCUCAUUACUCUGUGGCCCUUUGCACUACCUCAUACACACCCUGCCCAUAAACUGAACUGUCCCUACAAACUGCCAUAUCCACAACCCCAACCCUGGGACCCCAUUUUGAAAAUUCCUAGCGCCAACACUGCUGUCAACAGAGGAGAAAAAUGCUUUAUUUAAAUAAAUAUAUUAUUUAUAAAGCAAGUUCGAGUAUC
Long non-coding RNA from Entelurus aequoreus (snake pipefish), 451 nucleotides. RefSeq lists it as uncharacterized. The transcript has 3 exons. NCBI's taxonomy places the organism in Eukaryota, Metazoa, Chordata, Actinopteri, Syngnathiformes, Syngnathidae. The record is from RefSeq and is a predicted model, not a curated record.